AUUCGUCGAAUCGCCGAGCGAUCGACAUCAAGUAUUAUACAUCUCCGUCCACAAAUACGUAUAUCCUAUAAUCUUAAAUAGAUAUACCUAUAUAUAUAUAUAUAUAUAUACACAUAUUUAUAUAGAUAUAUACAUAUAUCUAUCUUUUAUUCUUUUUUCUCUUUUUAUCUUGUUUGCUCUUUUUUUUUUUAAUCCACGAGAAGAAAGUAGGAAAGAGAAAGGCCAAAAAAAAAAAAGGGAAAAGAGGAGAGUCUGGACAGAUUUUUUUAAAGUUCGUAUAAAGGGGGUCAAUAAACUCAAUCCAAAGAGGAUGGAGAAGGACCAGCCGGAUUCUUUGGCAACGGUUGCUGUCGUCUCGGAGAAGAUGCCGCAGACGCACAGUCAUUAUGCACCUAGCGAAGUCUAUUCCUCUGCCGAACCACCACCGGCAUACAUGAGGCCACCAAUGAAGAAUACGGCGGUUCAGAUCGCAAGGAUCGCCGCUAUCACUUUGAUAACGAUUUCGAUUAUCCUUGGAAGCUUCAUCCUUACUUCAUCUUGGAUUCAAGCUCGUAUGUCUUGUACACCAGAAGCUAUGGCGGCUAUGCAAGCUGAAAUGAAGUUUCAACAACAACAACAACAACAACAGGGCGAAUUAUUGAAACAUCUGCAACCGGAGGCUCUCAUUCAAGAUCCCAUUGAAGCAAAGGAAAGUUUACAAAGUCUUGCAGAAACGACUAAGAAGGAAAAUGAAGUAAAUACUAAAGAUAUGAAGGUUCAAAAAGAAGAGGAUAAUGCUUCGAAAUCCGACAAUGAAAGUGGCGAUCGCGAUGAGGACGACGACGAUUACGACGACGAUCAGUUUCCCCCUGUGCAUAUUAAACUUCCUCUUCAGCUCGAUUUGGAUGAUAUCGCUGGAGCACUGAUGCAACAAGCACGAAGUAGAGUUUCCUGUGUAGUUGAAAGACGAAGAGCCGAUGAAGUAAUGGACGGAACUAACGACAACGGACUGGAUAACAGUACCGAUCCUCAACGCUUCCAAAGAUUAAGCGGUGAACGCGUUGCUAUCCUUUGUGAAUCAGGCAAUCCUAAUCAGGAGCAACAGGAGCAAGAAAUGCUUACUCCGAUCAUUGUUCCAUUAGGAACUGUACAAAUUCCCCUUCAAUCGCAAGAACCUAAUCCGAAUUAUCAUCAGUAUCAAAUUCAUACACAAUAUCAAGUUCCUGAUAUGCAACAAUUGCCGUUAAGCGAUCCACGAGGCUUAAAUCAUAUACCACCUAAUGUCCUUCCUGCUGAACUACGUAAUCUUCCUCAACUAACAAUGGAAAUGAGACCACCGCGAAUGGGCCCGCAAGCUCCAAUGAUGGGACCUCAAACUGGUGCAACAGGACCACAGAUUGAAAUGCGUCAAAUUCCAAUCGAAUUACGUCAUUUCCCAAUGGACCCAUCAAGGAAUAUGAGACCACCGAUGCCACAAGAACAACGUCAAGAACCACACCAAAUACCGAUUAUGUAUCAACAACCUGAUCAAAAUCUUGAAAUGUAUGGUCAAGAACAGCAGGGUGCAGCUAUGAUGCCACCACCACCACCACCACCACCAUCGCAUACUGAACAACAAAUUCCUGAACAAAGAGUAUUGCCCCAAAUUAUCGUACCACAAACUGAACAAAGAAUGCCCAUGCAACCGCAAGUCGUUCCAGAAAGACCUCAUUCGCCUUUCCAGGGAAUACCUAUAGAAAUUAGAAGGAUUAUUCAACAAGUACCCUUAGAAAUAAAGAACAUAAUCCAACAUAUUACGGGAGAAGCUCGACCAGUACCGAUACAAGUUUCCGAAGGAGCACGACGAGAGAAUACACAAGAAUUCAAACCAUUCCCUGAAACAACACGACCUAUUAUACCUAUGGGAUCAUUCCCACUUCCCGUCGAAGUAAGAAAUCUUUUGGAACAUGGAAAUAUUGAAGGACGACGACGAGAGGAUGCCUCUAAUGAGCAACAAGAAGCUAAACCCUUCCCAGGUCCAGAGGACGAGGGUGAAGAAGUUGAGAAGAACUUUCCUGUACCUGCUGAAAUUCGUAAUAUAAUACAUCAAGUUGUAGAGGGACGUGCAUUCCCUGUACCAAGGUUCACUUUACCUUUGAGACCUGUAGAAUCAUUGGAAGUACCAGUCGAAGCUCGUGCUGAAGUUAGUGAUGGCAGUGAAUCGGAACAUCAACAGCAAGAGCAACAACCAAUGCAUACUGUAAUUCAACAACAACAACAACAACAACAACAACAACAACAACAACAGCAGCAGCAGCAGCAACAACAACAACAAUCGCAACAGCAACAACAGCAACAAGAACGAGAAGAAGAGAAUCGACCACAUUAUGUUCAACCACGUUCUGUACGCUCAAUUCCUGAACCAUUUGCCCAUCGUCGAGAAAAACGUGUACGUCGUUGCGCUUGUGAUUGUGCUUGCUAAUUUUGUCAAAUUUGACGAGUUUAACGCUUUUUCGGGGCUAACUUAAACAUUUAUCUAUCUAUCUAUAUAUAUAUAUUUAUGUAUAUAUUUACGCGUAUAUAUUUGUUAACAUUUAAUGAAAUUCUAAUGCCCUGAAGUAAUAUUCUUUUUAUUAAAAACAUGUAGCUAACCGCGUCGUUGUUCUUUCAUAUCUAGAAUUUCCUAGAAUUGGAGGAAAUUGCGGAUCAUACUAUUAGUUGAAACGAUAUGUUUAGAAGAAUCAUACAAGAAUUAUAAGCGAUUUAAGAGAAUAAAAUAGAAGUUUCAACUAGAAAUAAAUAAAUAAAUAUAUAUAUAUAUAUACACAUAUAUAUAUUAAUAUAUCACUAAAUAGAUGUAUAAAUCAAGAUCGCGUAAUGAUCGUACGUAAUAAAAUAAUCGAAACAUUGACGACUCGUUAAAACAUUUGCGAAAGAUUGAAAUUGAUAUUUUUCUUAUAUUAACACGCUCAUUAUUGCGGCAAAUACAUUAGUUGUAUGUUCACAUAUAUUUUGUCAUGAUUAAAAACUGAGCUCAUUGAAAAGAAAAGAAUACGAAGUGGAAGCAAUUGAUUAUUAUUGUUCAUUAAAAGUUAUUAUUUGUAUCACCGAAUAAUCCCAUUCCAAUAAUUAACUUAAUGUUGAUUUAUUAGUAUAGGUUCAUAAUUGAUAUGGUUUCGAUAAACUUUAAUUAAUAUUAACAGCAA
Unclassified non-coding RNA from Vespa mandarinia (Asian giant hornet), 3164 nucleotides. The record is from RefSeq and is a predicted model, not a curated record. Lineage: Eukaryota; Metazoa; Arthropoda; Insecta; Hymenoptera; Vespidae.